GGGGGCGACCUGGCUUCGACGUGGGUUGCAAAGCAGAGCAGGGCAUACCGAGGACGGACUACCUCGUAAAUACAAUCCGAAAUCGUUUAACUGCAAACGACGAAACUUACGCUCUGGCCGCUUAAUUGCGCCAGACCCUACACCAGCUAGCAUACGAGGUGGGCCGGGCAACCGGCAGUAGGGUAAUUUCAGUAUGAUCGCCUUGUCCAGGGUUGCUUUGGACAAGGUUAAAACCAAGGCAACUCGCUGGCUUCCAGCCUGUUCGGUGGGCGUGAAGCAGGUUAAAACCAAAUUACCGGACUAAGUAUGUAGAACUGUCUGUAGAGGGCUUGCGGACGGGGGUUCGAUUCCCCCCGCCUCCACCA
RNAcentral lists this transfer-messenger RNA (365 nucleotides) under Sulfuriferula plumbiphila. RNAcentral's name for it is "Standard tmRNA". It matches the Rfam family "transfer-messenger RNA". From Rfam's summary of the family: Bacterial tmRNA, also known as 10Sa RNA or SsrA, is named for its dual tRNA and mRNA-like properties. Its role is to liberate the mRNA from a stalled ribosome. Lineage: Bacteria; Pseudomonadati; Pseudomonadota; Betaproteobacteria; Nitrosomonadales; Sulfuricellaceae. The record is from RNAcentral.